This 464-nucleotide ribosomal RNA is filed under the name Vreelandella stevensii. RNAcentral's name for it is "partial 16S ribosomal RNA". It matches the Rfam family "Bacterial small subunit ribosomal RNA", at positions 339 to 795 of the family's 1533-position model. Lineage: Bacteria; Pseudomonadati; Pseudomonadota; Gammaproteobacteria; Oceanospirillales; Halomonadaceae. The record is from RNAcentral.
CUACGGGUCUCAGCAGUGGGGAAUAUUGGACAAUGGGCGAAAGCCUGAUCCAGCCAUGCCGCGUGUGUGAAGAAGGCCUUCGGGUUGUAAAGCACUUUCAGUGGGGAAGAAAGCCUUGGGGCUAAUACCCUCGAGGAAGGACAUCACCCACAGAAGAAGCACCGGCUAACUCCGUGCCAGCAGCCGCGGUAAUACGGAGGGUGCGAGCGUUAAUCGGAAUUACUGGGCGUAAAGCGCGCGUAGGCGGUCUGAUAAGCCGGUUGUGAAAGCCCCGGGCUCAACCUGGGAACGGCAUCCGGAACUGUCAGGCUAGAGUGCAGGAGAGGAAGGUAGAAUUCCCGGUGUAGCGGUGAAAUGCGUAGAGAUCGGGAGGAAUACCAGUGGCGAAGGCGGCCUUCUGGACUGACACUGACGCUGAGGUGCGAAAGCGUGGGUAGCAAACAGGAUUAGAUACCCUUGUAGUC